This 253-nucleotide ribosomal RNA is filed under the name uncultured bacterium. Its description in RNAcentral is "partial 16S ribosomal RNA". It matches the Rfam family "Bacterial small subunit ribosomal RNA", at positions 524 to 776 of the family's 1533-position model. The record is from RNAcentral.
UACGUAGGGGGCUAGCGUUGUCCGGAUUUAUUGGGCGUAAAGAGCGUGUAGGCGGCCAGGUAGGUCUGCUGUGAAAGUCGGGGGCUCAACCCUCGAAUGCCGGUGGAUACUGUCGGGCUUGAGUACGGAAGAGGCGAGUGGAAUUCCUGGUGUAGCGGUGAAAUGCGCAGAUAUCAGGAGGAACACCAAUUGCGAAGGCAGCUCGCUGGGACGUUACUGACGCUGAGACGCGAAAGCGUGGGGAGCAAACAGG